AACGAACGCUGGCGGCAUGCCUAACACAUGCAAGUCGAACGAGACCUUCGGGUCUAGUGGCGCACGGGUGCGUAACGCGUGGGAAUCUGCCCUUCGGUUGGGAAUAACUGAGAGAAAUUUCAGCUAAUACCUUAUAAUGUCUUCGGACCAAGGAUUUAUCGCCGAGGGAUGAGCCCGCGUAGGAUUAGGUAGUUGGUGGGGUAAUGGCCUACCAAGCCGACGAUCCUUAGCUGGUCUGAGAGGAUGAUCAGCCACACUGGGACUGAGACACGGCACAGACUCCUACGGGAGGCAGCAGUGGGGAAUAUUGGACUAUGGGCGAAGGCCUGAUCCAGCAAGGCCGCGUGAGUGAUGAAGGCAUUAGGGUGGUAAAGCUCUUUUACCCGGGAUGAUAAUGACAGUACCGGGAGAAUAAGCUCCGGCUAACUCCGUG
Molecule: ribosomal RNA, 433 nt
Filed under: uncultured bacterium
Lineage: Bacteria
Description: partial 16S ribosomal RNA
Rfam family: Bacterial small subunit ribosomal RNA
Source: RNAcentral